This 216-nucleotide unclassified non-coding RNA is filed under the name Hevea brasiliensis (rubber tree). Lineage: Eukaryota; Viridiplantae; Streptophyta; Magnoliopsida; Malpighiales; Euphorbiaceae. The record is from RNAcentral.
GGACAAUACCAGCAGAUUCGUGACCAAGAACCAUCGGAUUCUCCACGACAAAGUCACCGAUGCGACCCGCAACGAGGUAGUGCACAUCGGAACCGCAAAUGCCGGUCUUCUUCACAGUAAUGAGGACCUCAUCGUCCUUAAUGUCAGGGAUGAGCCUGUCUUCGAAGAUGACAUCCUCGAUCUUCCUGAGUACGAAAGACGGGUUGUUAGACAUGG